AUUGAACGCUGGCGGCAUGCUUUACACAUGCAAGUCGAACGGUAACAGGUUAAGCUGACGAGUGGCGAACGGGUGAGUAAUGCAUCGGAACGUGCCCGAUCGUGGGGGAUAACGCAGCGAAAGCUGCGCUAAUACCGCAUACGAUCUGAGGAUGAAAGCGGGGGACCGUAAGGCCUCGCGCGAUCGGAGCGGCCGAUGUCAGAUUAGGUAGUUGGUGGGGUAAAGGCCCACCAAGCCGACGAUCUGUAGCUGGUCUGAGAGGACGACCAGCCACACUGGGACUGAGACACGGCCCAGACUCCUACGGGAGGCAGCAGUGGGGAAUUUUGGACAAUGGGCGAAAGCCUGAUCCAGCAAUGCCGCGUGCAGGAAGAAGGCCUUCGGGUUGUAAACUGCUUUUGUACGGAGCGAAAAGGUCCUUUCUAAUACAAGGGGCUCAUGACGGUACCGUAAGAAUAAGCACCGGCUAACUACGUGCCAGCCGCCGCAGUAA
This 493-nucleotide ribosomal RNA is filed under the name uncultured bacterium. Its description in RNAcentral is "partial 16S ribosomal RNA". It matches the Rfam family "Bacterial small subunit ribosomal RNA", at positions 30 to 523 of the family's 1533-position model. The record is from RNAcentral.